Molecule: ribosomal RNA, 498 nt
Filed under: uncultured bacterium
Lineage: Bacteria
Description: partial 16S ribosomal RNA
Rfam family: Bacterial small subunit ribosomal RNA
Source: RNAcentral
GACGAACGCUGGCGGCGUGCCUAAUACAUGCAAGUCGAACGAGAGCGACCGGUGCUUGCACUGGUCAAUCUAGUGGCGAACGGGUGAGUAACACGUGGGUAACCUGCCCAUCAGAGGGGGAUAACAUCCGGAAACGGAUGCUAAAAGCGCAUAGGUCUUCGAACCGCAAGGGUCGAAGGUGAAAAUAGGCGGAAGGUUCUGCUGAUGGAUGGACCCGCGGUGGAUUAGCUAGUUGGUGAGGUAACGGCUCACCAAGGCGGUGAUGGAUAGCCGACCUGAGAGGGUGGUCGGCCACAUUGGGACUGAGACACGGCCCACACUCCUACGGGAGGCCGCGGUAGGGACUCUUCCGCAAUGGACGCAAGUCUGACGGAGCAACGCCGCGUGAGUGAAGAAGGUUCUCGGAUCGUAGAACUCUGUUGUUAGUGAAGAACAAGUGCUAGAGUAACUGUUAGCGCCUUGACGGUAUCUAACCAGAAAGCCCCGGCUAACUACGUG